This is a small nuclear RNA of Sarcophilus harrisii (Tasmanian devil), 103 nucleotides long. Lineage: Eukaryota; Metazoa; Chordata; Mammalia; Dasyuromorphia; Dasyuridae. The record is from Ensembl.
CUGUUUCAGCAGCAUAUCUACUAAAAUUGGAAUGAUGAAGAGAAGAUUAGCAUGGCCUCUGUACAAGGAUGACACACAAAUUUGUGAAAAAAUAGCAUACUUU